This is a long non-coding RNA of Oncorhynchus tshawytscha (Chinook salmon), 3178 nucleotides long. Lineage: Eukaryota; Metazoa; Chordata; Actinopteri; Salmoniformes; Salmonidae. The record is from Ensembl.
CACAACAUUUGUAUGGACACAACAUGUUAUUAACAGAGAGGUUCACAACAUUUGUAUGGACACAACAUGUUAUUAACAGAGAGGUUCACAACAUUUGUAUGGACACAACAUGUUAUUAACAGAGAGGUUCACAACUUUGUUAUUUACUUUGCUUGGUUACAUAUUCAUGCACUUUAUUUAUUUCAGCCCUUUUUCAUUCCUCAUUGAAAUUCAGAUAGCUUUUAUUUUUAAUUAAUAAAUCACUUAUUUUUAUUGCUAUUUGUUUUCUAUUACAAUUGCAACAAUGAAAGUAUGACAGUUGAUAUGUUUUUUUUUAGGUGAAAUGGCCAGCAUAAUAUUGUGUCGUUUUGCAAAGACAAUUCACAAAAGCCAUCGAUAUAAUUAUUCUCAAGUUUAGAGUUAAAAGAAAACCAUUGGGACCAUUAGCUUUGUACAGUCAUGCACAUUGCUGUAAUCCCAAACUAGAACCAAACAUAGGAGCAUACUGCAUGUGGAUAGUGUUGAUAUGACAACCCACAUAAAGGCGUCCUAUAAAAGCACUCACUCAAUGCAAGUGAAAACAUACCCAGUCAGCAGUGAAUUCAUCUUCACCUGCAAUGGGGGGAAACAAGCUCUCUGAUUAACCAACGGUGAAUCAGACUGCCGUUUGGUGCGCUUUUUUAAAAUGGAGAGCCUAAGAGGUAUGAGUUUAAAGGCCUCGGACAAAGGGUGCAAGCUAGUAUACCUGUUGGUGUGAUAUUAAUCCUAUUCAGGUCGAUAAAACAUACUGCUAGCAGGCGAAUAACUGCUUUAGGAGCUCGUUCAAGGUCACUCGGGAACGGUGACAAGUUUUACGUAGCGCGCAACCUUCAUUUAUCUGAGCAUGGGUAGACCACCGAGUGUGUUUAACCAUUUGCUUUGUGAGAUCUGUGGUGCUGUGGUUGUAGCAACAUUUCAUUGCACUUGAACAUGCUCAAUGUUUACAGUUGGAGGAAAACGUAAACAACAAUCCGAUCUAAGGGCUCGAUUCAAUCAGCGCAGAAGAUCGGCCUUUAAUCGCACGAUUGACAUUCAAAGAUUUCUGUGUUCGCGGAGACCGCACAUUCCCGGUAAACGCUACUCGUGUCGGCUCAAUUGAAAAUGACCUUUACAUUUCAACCACACGAUUCAAUCGGGCCACUCCUUUGUUUAUUGAUGUCUGAACGCGUCUUGUAAAAAAAAAAAAAUCCCCCUACAUUGUACAGUUUUGUAAAUCUCCACAUCUAAAGUUGCACAAAAUGAUCUGUGUUGAACAGUAAUUGUGACGCUGUGUACAAAUGCUCAAAUAUAACAUCUUCACUAGCUGUUAGCCUACUGAAUGUAAAUAACAUGUACAGUGUACGCUGUGAAGACGAAGCCAUGUAAGAGAUUUCAGAAAGAGAUUUCAGACAGUAUGGCUGAAAAGGUGUCCCAUUGUAUUGAGAGUGUCUUUGGGUGUUCUCAUGGAUACACAAACAGCUAGUAUACCUGUUGGUGUGCAUGUAUGUAGGUUACCUCUGUGGAUAUUAUUUUGUGCAGGGUUUAAAAUGACACAUUGUGAGUUUCUGAGAUACACUGCUUUGCGCAGAAUCUAAUUCAUGGGUUAUAAUUGAUGGGUCUAAUUGAUGGGUUAUAUACUACUUCUGGCAGUAUGAAUAUUUGUCUGUGUAUCUUAAACAUUCACAUUGACUCUUGGGAAUGCCUUAGCAGUAGGCUAGACCAUCUAUACACUAUAUAUACAAAAGUAUGUGGACACCCCUUCAAAUUAGUAGAUUCGGCUAUUUCAGCCACACAUGUUGCUGACAGGUGUAUAAAAUCGAGCACACAGCAAUUCAAUCUCCAUAAACAAACAUUGGCAGUAGAAUGGCCCGUACUGAAGAGCUCAGUGACUUUCAACGUGGCUCCGUCAUAGGAUGCCACCUUUCCAACAAGUCAGUUCGUCACAUUUCUGCCCUGCUAGAGCUGCCCAGGUCAACUGUAUUGUGAAGUGGAAACGUCUAGGAGCAACACCGGCUCAGCCGUAAAAAAUCGUCUGUCCUCGGUUGCAACUCUCACUACCGAGUUCCAAACUGCCUCUGGAAGCAACUUCAGCACAAGAUUUAUUUGUCGGGAGCUUCAUGAAAUGGGUUUCUAUGGCCGACCAGCCUAAUAUCACCAUGCACAAUGCCGGCUGGAGUGGUGUAAAGCUCGCCGCCAUUAGACUCUGGAGCAGUGGAAAGGCGUUCUCUGGAGUGAUGAAUCACGCUUCACCAUAUAGCAUUUGGGGAAGGCCCUAUCCUGUUUCAGCAUGACAAUUCCCCCGUGCACAAAGCGAGGUCCGUACAGAAAUGGUUUGUCGAGAUCGGUGUUGAACAACUUGACUGGCCUGCACAAGGCCCUGACCUCAACCCUAUCGAACACCUCUGGGAUGAAGUUUAACACUGACUGCGAGCCAACUCCAUCUAACUGGCCAUGAUUUCAGAAUGAGAUGUUCGACGAGCAGGUGUCCACAUACUUUUGGUAAUUUAGUGUAGCAUCUGCAAGUAGUGCACAAAAGGCACAAAUCUGGUAGCCAAAGGUCCAGAAAUGCAUGACAAAAGGAGACAUCUAUAGGCCUUACACGUGAUGAUAAUAAUAAACAGAGAUAUCCACAUACUGCACCUUUGGCCAUGUAGUGUAUGUCUGUCUAUAACAAUUGCAGGAAUUGUUUCAGAGUUUACUUGUUCAACCUUUCUGGGGAUUCAAAACAUAUCUUUCAUAUGAUAAAAACAUGAAUGUCUGCCUAGUCAUUUCUCUAAUCUUUACCGCAAAAAACAUAAACACAGACGAAUGUACAGAAAGAAGCAAGCCACACAGCAAAAGCAGUCUGAAGACUUCUAUCACUAUAGCGACCAAUAGACUACCAUACCUCUUCAUGCAACUGUGUACAGAAGCUCAGCAAGUAAACUUUUGAAAAAAAAUCGAAAUGUAAAUAAAUCCAUCUGUUGAAAUGUGAAUAUUAGUAACAGCUGUGAAAUAACACGAUUGUAUGUCGUCAAAGAGUUAAACAUGACAUGUCCAGUCUCAACAUAAUUUGAAACGCAGGUGAUUUUUUUUUCCAAUAUGAAUUUGUCAAACAGCAGUAUUGUAAAGGAAGAUUAGAAUGAUUUAAGGGGUUGCAAACUAUGACAUGUACUCCUGUGAGACCAAUAUAUUUGAUCUG